Molecule: transfer RNA, 84 nt
Filed under: Candidatus Diapherotrites archaeon ADurb.Bin253
Lineage: Archaea; Nanobdellati; Candidatus Iainarchaeota
Also listed under: 1 other name
Description: tRNA-Leu
Rfam family: tRNA
About the family: Transfer RNA (tRNA) molecules are approximately 80 nucleotides in length.
Source: RNAcentral
GCGAGUGUGCCGGAGUGGUCAAACGGGCUGGACUUAAGAUCCAGUAGCUUUAUGCUUGCGAAGGUUCGAACCCUUUCACUCGCA